RNAcentral lists this ribosomal RNA (253 nucleotides) under uncultured bacterium. RNAcentral's name for it is "partial 16S ribosomal RNA". It matches the Rfam family "Bacterial small subunit ribosomal RNA", at positions 524 to 776 of the family's 1533-position model. The record is from RNAcentral.
UACAGAGGUCCCAAUCGUUGUUCGGAUUCACUGGGCGUAAAGGGUGCGUAGGUGGUAGGGUAAGUUUGAUGUGAAAGCUCCGAGCUCAACUCGGAAAUGGCAUUGAAUACUAUCCUGCUUGAGGGUUGGAGGGGGGACUGGAAUUCUCGGUGUAGCAGUGAAAUGCGUAGAUAUCGAGAGGAACACCGGUGGCGAAGGCGAGUCCCUGGACAACACCUGACACUGAGGCACGAAAGCUAGGGGAGCAAACAGG